AGUGAACGCUGGCGGCGUGCUUAACACAUGCAAGUCGAACGAGAACGGGCCUUCGGGCUGUCAGCUAAGUGGCGCACGGGUGAGUAAUGUAUAGUUAAUCUGCCCUUUAGAGGGGGAUAACAGUUGGAAACGACUGCUAAUACCCCAUACUCCUUUCUGCUUAAUGUAGAUUGGGAAAUGUUUUUUCGCUAAAGGAUGAGACUAUAUGGUAUCAGGUAGUUGGUGGGGUAAGAGCCCACCAAGCCAAUGACGCCUAGCUGGUCUGAGAGGAUGAUCAGCCACACUGGAACUGAGACACGGUCCAGACUCCUACGGGAGGCAGCAGUGGGGAAUAUUGCACAAUGGACGAAAGUCUGAUGCAGCAACGCCGCGUGGAG
Molecule: ribosomal RNA, 377 nt
Filed under: uncultured bacterium
Lineage: Bacteria
Description: bacterial SSU rRNA
Rfam family: Bacterial small subunit ribosomal RNA
Source: RNAcentral